RNAcentral lists this ribosomal RNA (497 nucleotides) under uncultured bacterium. RNAcentral describes it as "partial 16S ribosomal RNA". It matches the Rfam family "Bacterial small subunit ribosomal RNA", at positions 28 to 507 of the family's 1533-position model. The record is from RNAcentral.
GAUGAACGCUGGCGGCGUGCCUAAUACAUGCAAGUCGAGCGAACGGACGAGAAGCUUUCUUCUCUGAUGUUAGCGGCGGACGGGUGAGUAACACGUGGAUAACCUACCUAUAAGACUGGGAUAACUUCGUGAAACCGGAGCUAAUACCGUAUAAUAUUUUGAACCGCAUGGUUCAAAAGUUAAAGACGGUCUUGCUGUCACUUAUAGAUGGAUCCGCGCUGCAUUAGCUAGUUGGUAAGGUAACGGCUUACCAAGGCAACGAUGCAUAGCCGACCUGAGAGGGUGAUCGGCCACACUGGAACUGAGACACGGUCCAGACUCCUACGGGAGGCAGCAGUAGGGAAUCUUCCGCAAUGGGCGAAAGCCUGACGGAGCAACGCCGCGUGAGUGAUGAAGGUCUUCGGAUUGUAAAACUCUGUUAUUAGGGACGAAAAUAUGUGUAAGUAACUGUGAGGAUCUUGACGGUACCUAAUGAGAAAGCCCCGGCUAACUACGUG